UACACGCACCACGUCACCCUGAACGCACACCCGAUCUCCACAAAUCUCAGCAGCUAAGCAGACUGAACCUGGAUAGUACUUAGAUGGGCGACCACCAUGCAAGCCCUGUGUUGUCA
RNAcentral lists this ribosomal RNA (116 nucleotides) under Petromyzon marinus (sea lamprey). Lineage: Eukaryota; Metazoa; Chordata; Hyperoartia; Petromyzontiformes; Petromyzontidae. The record is from RNAcentral.